CGCUAGCUCCAUGCUUAACACAUGCAAGUCGAGGGGUAACAUUGGCUGAGCUUGCUCAGCCAGAUGACGACCGGCGCACGGGUGAGUAACGCGUAUCCAACCUGCCCAUGGGUCAGGAAUAACCUUCCGAAAGGGAGCCUAAUACCUGAUGCAGUGAGAAGAAGGCCUCUGAUUUUCACGAAAGACUUCGGUCGCCGAUGGAUGGGGAUGCGUACGAUUAGGCAGCAGGCGGGGUAACGGCCCACCUGGCCUACGAUCGUUAGGGGUUCUGAGAGGAAGGUCCCCCACACUGGUACUGAGACACGGACCAGACUCCUACGGGAGGCAGCAGUGAGGAAUAUUGGUCAAUGGGCGCAAGCCUGAACCAGCCAAGUAGCGUGCAGGACGACUGCCCUAUGGGUUGUAAACUGCUUUUAUGCGGGGAUAAAGUUUGCCACGUGUGGCAAUUUGCAGGUACCGCAUGAAUAAGGACCGGCUAAUUCCGUGCCAGCAGCCGCGGUAAUACGGAAGGUCCGGGCGUUAUCCGGAUUUAUUGGGUUUAAAGGGAGCGUAGGCGGGCUGUUAAGCGUGUCGUGAAAAGCAUCGGCUCAACCGGUGUCGUGCGGCGCGGACUGGCGGUCUUGAGUGGGUAGAAAGCCGGCGGAAUUCGUGGUGUAGCGGUGAAAUGCUUAGAUAUCACGAAGAACUCCGAUUG
Molecule: ribosomal RNA, 694 nt
Filed under: uncultured Bacteroidales bacterium
Lineage: Bacteria; Pseudomonadati; Bacteroidota; Bacteroidia; Bacteroidales
Description: bacterial SSU rRNA
Rfam family: Bacterial small subunit ribosomal RNA
Source: RNAcentral